AGCGAACGCUAGCGGCGGGCCUAACACAUGCAAGUCGAGCGCAUACCUUCGGGUAUGAGCGGCGGACGGGUGAGUAACACGUAGGUAAUCUACCCUUUGGUGGGGAAUAACCCGGGGAAACUCGGGCUAAUGCCGCACGAGGUCUACGGAUCAAAGCCUUCGGGCGCCAGAGGAUGAGCCUGCGUUGCAUUACCUAGUUGGCGGGGUAACGGCCCACCAAGGGGACGAUGCAUAGCUGGUCUGAGAGGAUGAUCAGCCACACUGGGACUGAGACACGGCCCAGACUCCUACGGGAGGCAGCAGUGGGGAAUAUUGCGCAAUGGGGGGAAACCCUGACGCAGCUACGCCGCGUGGGUGAUGAAGGCCUUCGGGUUGUAAAGCCCUGUCGGGAGGGACGAAUACUGACGGUACCUCCCAAGAAAGCACCGGCUAACUCCGUGCCAGCAGCCGCGGUAAU
RNAcentral lists this ribosomal RNA (457 nucleotides) under uncultured bacterium. Its description in RNAcentral is "bacterial SSU rRNA". It matches the Rfam family "Bacterial small subunit ribosomal RNA", at positions 29 to 524 of the family's 1533-position model. The record is from RNAcentral.